RNAcentral lists this ribosomal RNA (274 nucleotides) under uncultured bacterium. Its description in RNAcentral is "partial 16S ribosomal RNA". It matches the Rfam family "Archaeal small subunit ribosomal RNA", at positions 473 to 747 of the family's 1478-position model. The record is from RNAcentral.
AAACCAGCACCUCAAGUGGUCAGGAGGAUUAUUGGGCCUAAAGCAUCCGUAGCCUGUUCUAUAAGUUUCCGGUUAAAUCCACUAGCUCAACUAGUGGGCUGCCGAAAAUACUGUAGAACUAGGGAGUGGGAGAGGUAGACGGUAUUCGGUAGGAAGGGGUAAAAUCCUUUGAUCUAUUGAGGACCACCUGUGGCGAAGGCGGUCUACCAGAACACGCUCGACGGUGAGGGAUGAAAGCUGGGGGAGCAAACCGGAUUAGAAACCCGGGUAGUCC